RNAcentral lists this ribosomal RNA (538 nucleotides) under uncultured bacterium. RNAcentral's name for it is "bacterial SSU rRNA". It matches the Rfam family "Bacterial small subunit ribosomal RNA", at positions 8 to 526 of the family's 1533-position model. The record is from RNAcentral.
AGAGUUUGAUCAUGGCUCAGAACGAACGCCAGCGGCGUGGAUUAGGCAUGCAAGUCGAACGGACACCGUAGCAAUACGGUGUUAGUGGCGGAAGGGUGAGUAAUGCAUAGAUAACCUGCCCCCGAGACCGGGAUAACUCCGGGAAACCGGAGCUAAGACCGGAUGGGAUCACUGGAUCGCCUGGUUCGGUGAUUAAAGGAGGCCUCUGAAUAUGCUCCCGCUCGGGGAGGGAUCUAUGUCCUAUCAGCUAGUUGGUGAGGGUAAUGGCCCACCAAGGCAUUGACGGGUAGCCGGCCUUAGCGGGUGUCCGGCCACAUUAGGACUGAGACACUGCCCAAACUCCUACGGGAGGCUGCAGUCGAGGAUCUUCCGCAAUGAGCGCAAGCUUGACGGAGCGACGCCGCGUGUGGGAUGAAGGCCUUCGGGUUGUAAACCACUGUCACUCGUUAAGAAAGGGUUGGGGGUUAACAGCCUCCAGCACUGACGAAGGCGAGAGAGGAAGCCACGGCUAACUUCGUGCCAGCAGCCGCGGUAAUAC